Molecule: ribosomal RNA, 483 nt
Filed under: uncultured bacterium
Lineage: Bacteria
Description: partial 16S ribosomal RNA
Rfam family: Bacterial small subunit ribosomal RNA
Source: RNAcentral
AUUGAACGCUGGCGGCAGGCCUAACACAUGCAAGUCGAGCGGAUGAAGGGAGCUUGCUCCUGGAUUCAGCGGCGGACGGGUGAGUAAUGCCUAGGAAUCUGCCUGGUAGUGGGGGAUAACGUCCGGAAACGGGCGCUAAUACCGCAUACGUCCUGAGGGAGAAAGUGGGGGAUCUUCGGACCUCACGCUAUCAGAUGAGCCUAGGUCGGAUUAGCUAGUUGGUGGGGUAAAGGCCUACCAAGGCGACGAUCCGUAACUGGUCUGAGAGGAUGAUCAGUCAAACGGGAAUUGAAAAAGGGACCAAACCCUAAGGGAGGGAACAGGGGGGGAAUUUGGGAAAAGGGGGGAAAGCUGAACCCAGCCAGGCCGGGGGUGGAAAAAAGGUUUUGGGAUUGAAAAACAUUUUAAGGGGGGAGAAAGGGAAGUAAGUUAAAACCUGGGUGUUUUAACGUAACCAAAAAAAAAACCCCGGCCAAAUUCGUG